Molecule: long non-coding RNA, 596 nt
Filed under: Pan troglodytes (chimpanzee)
Lineage: Eukaryota; Metazoa; Chordata; Mammalia; Primates; Hominidae
Description: lincRNA
Source: RNAcentral
ACAAAGGCCAUUUUCUUUCUGGCCAUUCAGGGAGAGGGGUGUUCCAGUUUCAGGAAUAGAAUUAGGGGAGCAAGCUGGUGUUCACCGCACCCUCCAGUGAUCUCUGAUGAUAUGCGGGGAUAAUGGGUUACAAAGACAGACAUUAAUAAGCUACUUGUGCAAGAAGCUACAAUGAGAAAAAAAAUAGCAAGAAAUAGAUGAGGGAAGGAGGUUCUGUAGAGGGAAAAACAAAGAGAGAAAAGAACAAUGAAUUGUGCUGAGAAAGAGAUGCCUGGAUGAAGAAGCUGGCCCUAGCACCCAUAAAGCUGGAAAGAAAGUGGGGCCUUGGAAACUUCUGGAAGGAUGCGAGGAAAGAAAAAUGCAAGGAAAUGAGAUGGAGAGGAGAAAGAGAAACCAGGAAGCACUUCGGAAGCAUGUAAAUUACAAGGAAAUGAGGAACAGCCUUUAUUGAAACAGUCUGUGAAGUCUGUGCUAGCGCUGAGAGCUUCAUUUUACUGUCCUGGCAAGGAGGUGUGGCCCCUCUCCAGUGCCCAGCACCUCAUCGCUGUGGUAACAGAAGACACGCUUAUCUUCCGGAUUUUGCCUCAGAGACUUGG